GAUGAACGCUGGCGGCGUGCCUAAUACAUGCAAGUCGAGCGAACGGACGAGAAGCUUGCUUCUCUGAUGUUAGCGGCGGACGGGUGAGUAACACGUGGAUAACCUACCUAUAAGACUGGGAUAACUUCGGGAAACCGGAGCUAAUACCGGAUGAUAUUUUGAACCGCAUGGUUCAAAAGUGAAAGACGGUCUUGCUGUCACUUAUAGAUGGAUCCGCGCUGCAUUAGCUAGUUGGUAAGGUAACGGCUUACCAAGGCAACGAUGCAUAGCCGAUCUGAGAGGGUGAUCGCCCACACUGGAACUGAGACACGGUCCAGACUCCUACGGGAGGCAGCAGUAGGGAAUCUUCCGCAAUGGGCGAAAGCCUGACGGAGCAACGCCGCGUGAGUGAUGAAGGUCUUCGGAUCGUAAAACUCUGUUAUUAGGGAAGAACAUAUGUGUAAGUAACUGUGCACAUCUUGACGGUACCUAAUCAGAAAGCCACGGCUAACUACGUG
RNAcentral lists this ribosomal RNA (497 nucleotides) under uncultured bacterium. Its description in RNAcentral is "partial 16S ribosomal RNA". It matches the Rfam family "Bacterial small subunit ribosomal RNA", at positions 28 to 507 of the family's 1533-position model. The record is from RNAcentral.